UGUCAGAUGGCCCGAGCGGUCUAAGGCGCUGCGUUCAGGUGCGCAGUCCUCCCUGGAGGCGUGGGUUCGAAUCCCACUUCUGACAG
This is a non-coding RNA of Merluccius polli (Benguela hake), 86 nucleotides long. NCBI's taxonomy places the organism in Eukaryota, Metazoa, Chordata, Actinopteri, Gadiformes, Merlucciidae. The record is from the annotation of a GenBank genome assembly.